This 916-nucleotide ribosomal RNA is filed under the name uncultured archaeon. Its description in RNAcentral is "SSU rRNA". It matches the Rfam family "Archaeal small subunit ribosomal RNA", at positions 1 to 922 of the family's 1478-position model. The record is from RNAcentral.
UUUCCGGUUGAUCCCGCCGGACCUGACUGCUAUCGGAUUGAUACUAAGCCAUGCGAGUCUUUGUAGUAAUACAAGGCAGACGGCUCAGUAACACGUAGUCAACCUACCCUAUGGACAAGAAUAAUCUCGGGAAACUGGGCAUAAUUCUUGAUAGAUCAUAAUGCCUGGAAUGGUUUAUGGUUAAAAUGAUUCGUCGCCAUAGGAUGGGACUGCGGCCUAUCAGCUUGUUGGUGAGGUAAUGGCCCACCAAGGCGAUUACAGGUACGGGCUCUGAGAGGAGAAGCCCGGAGAUGGGUACUGAGACACGGACCCAGGCCCUAUGGGGCGCAGCAGGCGAGAAAACUUUGCAAUGUGCGAAAGCACGACAAGGUUAAUCCGAGUGAUUUCUGCUAAAGAAAUCUUUUGCCAGUCAUAAAACCACUGGUGAAUAAGGGGUGGGCAAGUUCUGGUGUCAGCCGCCGCGGUAAAACCAGCACCUCAAGUGGUCAGGAUGAUUAUUGGGCCUAAAGCAUCCGUAGCCGGCUUUGUAAGUUUUCGGUUAAAUCCAUGUGCUCAACGCAUGGGCUGCCGAAAAUACUGCAUGGCUAGGGAGUGGGAGAGGUAGACGGUACUCAGUAGGAAGGGGUAAAAUCCUUUGAUCUAUUGAUGACCACCUGUGGCGAAGGCGGUCUACCAGAACACGUUCGACGGUGAGGGAUGAAAGCUGGGGGAGCAAACCGGAUUAGAUACCCGGGUAGUCCCAGCUGUAAACGAUGCAGACUCGAUGAUGCAUUGGUAUAAUAGCCAGUGCAGUGUCGCAGGGAAGCCGUUAAGUCUGCCGCCUGGGAAGUACGUACGCAAGUAUGAAACUUAAAGGAAUUGGCGGGGGAGCACCACAAGGGGUGAAGCCUGCGGUUCAAUUGGAUUCAACGCCGGA